CAGCAGUCGCCGCGGGAAUACGAAGGGGGCUAGCGUUGCUCGGAAUCACUGGGCGUAAAGGGUGCGUAGGCGGGUUUUUAAGUCAGGGGUGAAAUCCUGGAGCUCAACUCCAGAACUGCCCUUGAUACUGGGAAUCUUGAGUAUGGGAGAGGUGAGUGGAACUGCGAGUGUAGAGGUGAAAUUCGUAGAUAUUGGGAGGAACACCUGUGGCGAAAGCGGCUCACUGGACAAUAACUGACGCUGAUGCACGAAAGCUAGGGGAGCAAACAGGAUUAGAUACCCCUGUAGUCCCUGUCUCUUAUAA
This 304-nucleotide ribosomal RNA is filed under the name uncultured bacterium. RNAcentral's name for it is "partial 16S ribosomal RNA". It matches the Rfam family "Bacterial small subunit ribosomal RNA", at positions 509 to 809 of the family's 1533-position model. The record is from RNAcentral.